UUCUUUCUUUGUUAAAUUUCUUAAUUCAAAUUAAAAUUUCUAAACAAAUAUAUUUUGGUUCGAAGCCGAAUUUCUAAUGACGUACGUCAAUCUUUGAGUUCUAUAACCAGAAUCUUAUCACAGUGCCAACCAACUAUCACCGAAUCACGGGAACCUGACAAACAUCACCGGUUUUCCCUGGCUUUUCACAAAUAUGCAAAAUAACCAGCUGACCGCACGACAUAAAGUUUCUGUAUUUGAAGAAAAAGAAAAAUGCCAAGUAUUGUGUUCAUAGCUUGAAAUGAGGAUUGAAAAUCACGUUGAGAUCCAAGUCUGCUGAGAGCUUUCUACUUACUCUAUGAUCCGUGUCACAAUAAAUUACCGACAUAUUGGAUAUAGGAACUUGUAAGGUAGGCAAUCAUAUUAUUAGGUGAACACAUCCAGGUGUAAUUGUCAAAUCAACAAACAUCAAUAAAAUAUAUUUGCCGACCAACUUGAAACCAGCUGUCACAAUCAAAUGUCAUAUUUUCAUGAAAUAUUUCUUCCUUAUUUACAUUUCGCUACCAAGCAGGCCAUAA
Octopus bimaculoides (California two-spot octopus) is the source of this 557-nucleotide long non-coding RNA. RefSeq lists it as uncharacterized. The record is from RefSeq and is a predicted model, not a curated record. Lineage: Eukaryota; Metazoa; Mollusca; Cephalopoda; Octopoda; Octopodidae.